This is a long non-coding RNA of Polyodon spathula (Mississippi paddlefish), 5888 nucleotides long. RefSeq lists it as uncharacterized. The transcript has 2 exons. Lineage: Eukaryota; Metazoa; Chordata; Actinopteri; Acipenseriformes; Polyodontidae. The record is from RefSeq and is a predicted model, not a curated record.
GAGGGAUCCAGUAUUACUGCACCCAUAUCCAGUCCCAGGCAUGGACACGAGACUCCUGCUGCAAAGCAACAUCCCCCAUUCCAGGUUCUACUACAAGCUUGAUUAGCCCCAGUUUAUAGGUAACAAGCUCAGGAGUGUCUUUUUUAACUUGGAAUGGAUCAAACUGCUUGGCAGUGAGAGUUUUAUUUACAUCCCUUAGUCUUGUUGAGCCCCAUUCACAGAUAAUCCUGUUUCUAUAUACAGCACUUACUGUACCAGAGAUAUACCACUAGCCAGCGGUUUUAGACCUUGGUCCUCCCUCAAUGGUCUGCUUUUUAAAUAUCUAUUUUAAACAUGCAUUGUUUUCCUAUGCACAUAAGACAGCUCUCACAGGGAGACAGCCCCUGAGAUUUCAAACAGCGUGCAACUGCAAUGGUUGAUCUAGCGUCUAUGGUUGAUCUAGUGUCUAUGUUCUUUACCAGACCGCAAUGCACCCCCCCCCCCCCAACAUAUGCAAUUGACUCAACCAGAAAUACGCCGUGUCGUCAUUAAACCAAUCUGAAGCAUCAUUUUUCCAACAAGCAAUAAAUCAGUUUGUGUAAGCGUGGCUUUUGUUAUUAGAGAUUCAUGUAUUAAGUUUUACCAAAGUGGUAAAAUGGUUGUUUCAAGUCAGUGGUUUAUAUGUGUCUCAGCUACUGCCAUUAAACAGUGAAACACUUACUGUAAUUAAGGCUAGCAGCCUAUCAGUCAUGUCACAUUGUUUUGGCCUCGAAUCUUGAACACUUUAUGGUUAUUUUCUGUUAUUUACUGCAUGUACUUAGGAAACUGUGCUGCGUUUGUUUAUAAACAGCAUACUGCACGUUAACAGGAUGUAACUCUCUAACCAGUGUUACCAGUUCAUUUUAUAUCAUGUACUUGUUCAUCUGGCUCUUAGUUAUAGGAAAUGUUAUCAUUCCAUAAGGGAAUUGCUUUAGUGCUCAUAGGAUUGUAUUUCCUGCUGUUUCGGCCAUUAUCUGAUGAGAUUUUGGCACAGGGGUGAGAAGUGACGCAAUGAACCGAAACAUUGCUUUUUAUUCUUCAAAUUUUUUAAAAUCUGCUGCGUUGCAUUUUCUUUUGGUCCACGUUGCUUUGUGUAUGUAUACCUGUACAUUUUUUUUAUAUAUACUGUAAAUGCUAAAUAAAAAUAAUAAUACAAAAUAAAAUAAAAAUAAAAGAUUUUAUAUUCGUCAUCUCUGAUUAAGAAAGAGGUGAAUCCCAGGUGUGGUUUGACACCCUAAACAGAGCGUGUGGUUAAAUACUUUUGCGCAGUGUCAGCACCAGUUCAAGGCUGAUGGGAAAAGACUCACAGCCGCCAAACAGAAUCUGAAUUACUGUCUGAGCGUGUUCCAGCAGUUACUGUUCAUUACUGUGGUGCACUAGAUUUGAAGUUUGGAAUAAUGCACCCAGUCUCUGUAUGUGCAACUUCAACCAAACAAGCCUUCCCAGGAAGUCAAGUAAUGAAUUAUCCCAUAAAGCGAUGCAGCUGUGUGUCUCUGCGGUUACUGUGGCAAGCAAAAAAAAAAAGCUAGUUGCAAGCUAUCGCAGCAAAUGACCAACACAAUACACAACUUGAUGUUUGACCCCCCACCACUCCCCGAACAGCUGCAAGAGAAUGAAGUCGAUCUGUCUUGAGCCGCAGCGGACUGGAAGCCUCGUAUCCCAGGGGCGAGUCCAAGAUUUGGGUGAGCCCGCCACACCCUGUUCUCUCCUGUUCCUCAUUAAUGAUAUCAUCCCUGCAUUUCACAAUACCAGAAAACAAUCCCUUCACUAUAUGUAAUGGGAUCCAGACACCAAGCAGGGACCCUGUGGACUCAUGUUUGCAAACUCUACAGCCCCAGUAAUACCAGCAGCAGCUGUGCUUUUACGAGAGUCUAUUAUACAUGACUGGGCUGCCAGCCAGGUCCAGUACUGUGUACUGUGUUGCCCAUUAUCUUUAUCGUAUGGGCAGGAGUUGACGAUUUCUUAAGUGGUUUUAUUAAACACGUCUCUUAUGCAGUUCUAGCCUGGGUUUACAGUAAACAACCGUACAUUGAAACAAGUACAGUAUAUUAAAGUCGCUUACUGACAGUAUAUAGUGAACAACUCUACUCAUAUAAUGCAAAGACGUGUCAUGAGCAAGCAUAUGGUAGUAAUAAAUAAUACUGAAGGGUUUUGCUUCGUCUUACUGGAAAUGUGCUCAUCUGCUUAGGAUAAAGGAUUUUUGGUUCAAUUCUAAUUUCUCCUUCACCAGUGAAACCAGUGGCUAAUACGUCAAGCAGUGGGAUGCUAGCACUGUAACCUGUAAUUCACUUGCCUUCCAAUUAUGUUAUAUUGUAACAAAUCCAGGGUCCAUACAAUCUGGCCAGGGCUUGUGCAACAGUAACGCCAAGCACAGUGUGCUAAAAAGCCUAUUCCAAGUUUCAUCAUGGCUAGAUGAGGGUGGAGCUCAAAGUGGAGGUACAUGACCUCCAUGAUAACCAGCCAGGCAUCAUUACUAGCAAACUGGCUGCCAUGGCUCAGCUUUCUUUUUCUCUCUCUUAAGAUACUUCUCCUGUUCUUGUGGGAACACGCAGGACUAUUUUUACUCGCUGCAUUCCUCCAGUUUUCUCAUGCUGAAUUUUCCACUGGCUUGCCCGGUUGGUGAUUUAUUUGAUGGCUGUUGGUUCCUGCUGAAGAUAAACAAGGUUUUUUUGUGUAAUUUGGAAGCCUGGCUCCUUGUUACAUUGUCUUGUUCCUAAUGGUGACUGUAGUUAUAAUGGCAUGGGCAUUGUCAGUGAGAAUAGGCAGGUUCCUCAGCGCUGGGAAGAAGUUUCCUCUCUGGUUAUUGUUAAUUGCUUUACCAGUUGUUUUAUGAAAUAUAGAUCGAACAUUUUUUCGGAUUACCAGUGUUGUGAUGUGUUUCUGUAUGGGAAAUUCAGUUUACUAUUAAAGACUAGCUAGGAUGGCACGACUCCCAGAUAUUGAGUUGUUUUUUUUUUCCCUUGCAUGAGAUCAUUUAAUAAUAUUUCCUGGAUCAUAAAACUAAAUUCUUCCCCUUUUUUCACCCUUCUAAUUUAUAGUCUAAUAAUUUGUUUUUUUAAUAGAAUCUUUAAAAUGAUCAGACAUAAUUCUUAUCUUUAAAAUGAUCAGAUAUAAUAAAGCAAUGUAUGCUGAAUUCUUCUCUUUGCUGAUCUUCAUUUGAAAUCUCAAGCAGUUUCCUCUGAAACCCGUUGGCCUAUGAGAGCCGGAGUGUUUGUUUACAUCCACUAGAAGUGUUGGUGACCCUUGCAUUUUGAUAUAAAGGUGUAUCGGAGAAAUAGGCAUCAAACUGAAAUGUUUGUCAGCAUAACAAAUGUGUUUAACACUUCUUUCAAGCGGAAAGCUUGAAGUCGCUGGUUCACUUGUGCAAAGAGCUGGUUCCAAAGAUGUUGGUAUCUGUUUAAGACAUGUGAAAUGUGCGUUCUUAUAUGAGAGCUGCUUCCUGUGGAAAGGUGCACUGCCAAGAUAAGGCUGGGUUUGACACAGGGAGAGAUCAAUCCUGGAUAGAGUUCCUUCCUAGCCCCAGGCCACAGUGCAAACAAUCAGGCCAUGUGUUAUUUCUGAAGGGGGUCAUGUGUUGUUUUCAAGUAGAACAGGGCAUAAAGACUCUUUGUCUGGAGGGAUAUGAAAAUCUCUUGCAAUUUUUAAUAGUGCAUAAUAUUUCAAUUGUGCAUGGAAUUCUGACAGAGAAAAAAAACCAGCAUAACAUAUUCUUUUACUGGAACGCCAGUGUACUGGGACUGCUCGGGUGUGCUUUUAGACUUUGGGAGCGGGGGGAAUAAAAUAGUGCAUCAUAGUCUGCGAAACAGCCCCGAAAUAUUCCCGAAAAUAAUGGAACUGCAUCGACUGUACCACACUCCCAAACCACUUACACCUGCUACUCAUCAGAUAACACAGAACAAAGAAAUGAGUAAAUCAAAUCCAAUUAGUAUCAUCCUUAAUGCCAAAUCCUGGAAUUGAGGAUGAUGCAAAUUGGAUUGUAAGCUUACUUUGAGCUCCUCUGCCUGAUCAGAUGGUGUAACGUUAAUAAUCUGAGAACCCUGAGCACAGUAAGUGUGUUUUGGUAUGAGUGCUAAUGGCUGUUAAGCGAACAAUACCAGAUGUGCCAAAAAUAACCACUGUGGCUGUGGUCAGGUGCCAGUGGCCUCACUUCCUCUGCUUUCUUGAGCUUACUUGUCUGUUGAACUUCUCGAGACCUGAGUUUGUGCAGCUGUAUCCCCAAACUUCUACUUAUUUUUUAACCCGAUGACUCCACUUCAGUUAUUUUUGCCUGUUGUUGUAGAGCACUCAUGUUUCCAUGUCUGCUUUCAGAGGAUGGUAACAUUCGGUCUGUGUUGCAGCACUUCUUAGGAAACCAAGGGGUGGGGUGUGACAAGGUAUUGACAGUACAGGAAAAAAAUGUGUGUGAAGCUUUGCUGCUAACAUCCCAGCUCCUGGCUUGUUUAAAGUCCGUAUCUCUAUUCAUGACUUCAUACACUGUGAGUGGACAGAUAGUGAUCCCUGUAUCGCAUGACAAGAUCUGUCUGUGUUGUCUGUGCCAUCCCAUCCUUGCAAAGCACUUUCUGUCUCUGUUAUCGGAAGAUGUUUAUAGGAACAUGCAGGAAAGGUCAGGAAGCGUGGCUUUUGAAAAGGAUGGGAAAGGAUGUUUAGGCUUUUUUCUGGUUGUGAAUUAAAUGGGCCACUUCCACAGGUCCAUUGUUAGCAAACUGGACGGGUGGCGAAGGAGAGAAAUAAGGUUUCCUGUUUUGGAAAUUACAGAGCCGAGAGUCCGCUCAGGUGCUUAUUGUUUUUCCCUUCUCAGUUCUCAUUGCAAUGCAGUUUAUUGAGUUGCCAUUUGCUUUGAAGUUAUAUGUUGCCAGGAUCCAGAAUUACAAAUGAUUAAUUUCCUUCACAGAGGUGGUGAAGAGCUCACUGUAAUUUAAACCACCAGAAAGCACUCUCUCCUCCCCAUACGCCAUUUCAGGUACAUUAAAAAAGUCCAAAUGAAAGAGUUCUUUUAGAAACCUAAUGGUCUUGAUAACAGGAACUGUACGUUUGCAUUGUCUAACAGUUCAACCCCCUGUAACUGUAUAGCACAUGUGUAACUGUUGUGGCUAUCUUUGUGUGGGGUACUCAUUUACUGUGGCUGUAAUACUUUCCCUUGACAGCCCUGUGCAGCUCCUGUAUUGAACUGUCAAAGAGGGGUCAGACGGUGUACUGCAGGUUAGGUUCCAGCUGCUCAAACCUUGUAGCAUUUACUUGAUAUCUAAUACAACCUGCUUUUAUGAGAUGCAUUAGCUUUAUUAAACUCCCUGUCCUGAGUGUUUUUUUUCUGGCUCUUUUGCCUUUGCACUUGGAUAGUCUUGGCUUCAAACCCACCAGUGGGUGUUCCCUGUGUUGCUCUCAGCGCUUCAGUGUUUGCUGUUCUUUCCAAAAGUGAGAACUUCUUUCAACUUUGAUGGCUAUUGGUUCCUGGGUUCCUGGCUCCAGGCUCCGUUUGAAUUCCUCAGUGACUGUAGCAAAGUUUACCAGAUUAAAAAGUAACAUUGAAGUACAUGGGGAGGGGGGCAUAGAUCCUCUGGCUUUGGAUCCCUUCAGAUAAGGUAUUAGUGUAUGAAAGAUCAGAAGCCUGAUAGUUAACGCAUAACUGGUUUGUCUGUUUUGAAUAUUGCACAUUGCUGCCCCAAAUACCUUAUAGCCUUGCACUGAAUAGUAUAUCGUAGCCCUGCAACCCAUCUGACAUUGUUAAGGCAGGGGUUGCUUUUUUAAAAAUAAAAAUAUAAAACCUAUUGCAAAGAAAAGAUAACUGCUGAUACUUACACAAGUGGUUUCUUCUUUCAUUUCCAGCUGUAUAGCAUCUUUGUCUUGUAUGUCUUCCUUAUGAACACAGUGGA